This 74-nucleotide transfer RNA is filed under the name Archangium gephyra. Its description in RNAcentral is "tRNA-Pro". It matches the Rfam family "tRNA". Rfam says of the family: Transfer RNA (tRNA) molecules are approximately 80 nucleotides in length. Their secondary structure includes four short double-helical elements and three loops (D, anti-codon, and T loops). The record is from RNAcentral. Lineage: Bacteria; Pseudomonadati; Myxococcota; Myxococcia; Myxococcales; Archangiaceae.
CUGGGUGUAGCUCAAUUUGGUAGAGCGCGCGGUUCGGGUCCGCGAGGUCGCAGGUUCAAAUCCUGUCACCCAGA